This 30-nucleotide non-coding RNA is filed under the name Mus musculus (house mouse). The record is from RNAcentral. Lineage: Eukaryota; Metazoa; Chordata; Mammalia; Rodentia; Muridae.
UAAAACUAUGGACAACAAAGUACAGGGCAU